Molecule: long non-coding RNA, 312 nt
Filed under: Homo sapiens (human)
Lineage: Eukaryota; Metazoa; Chordata; Mammalia; Primates; Hominidae
Description: HSALNT0081112
Source: RNAcentral
AUUAUGAUACUACCAGGGUCAAAGUGAAUUUGACUUUCAAUUUUAUAUAAUCCAUCAAUGACUAUUCUCUUUUUAAAGUCUUGGCAGCUCUUUGGGGGAUGGAAGAAGACCAUGAAGCUCUAAGUGCUUCAGAGGAAUGGGGUUGCCAAAACAGAUGUGAGAGGCCCAGAGAGGAGGCUGGGCCAAUGCUGAAGGGUAUUAUUUUGGGGCUGAGUGCAGAAAUAAGAGAUGCGUGCUAAAAGGUCAUCGGUUUAGAACCAGCCCUAGAUCUCCUGGGAUCCUGCCCAGCUGAAUCUUCCUCCUUGUAACAUG